Molecule: long non-coding RNA, 238 nt
Filed under: Solanum tuberosum (potato)
Lineage: Eukaryota; Viridiplantae; Streptophyta; Magnoliopsida; Solanales; Solanaceae
Description: long non-coding RNA (STUB_LNC001098)
Source: RNAcentral
UAGGCGUACAAGUUGAAGGCAUGUAGCAAGUAAAAGAAAAGAGGCCUACAAAUGGGCUGUAUACAGUCGUAUACAAUUAUAUACACGAGUAUACACCCACUGUAUACAGUUGAAGCGGUGACACAAUGGGUCAAAAAUUAACAUACGUGUUCAGAAGCUCAACUGGACUAUAUACAUUUAUUAUAUGGUCAGAAAUACAGGGAAAUAGGCCGAAAUACAGCCUAUAUACAGAAGGAUA